This is a long non-coding RNA of Phyllostomus hastatus (greater spear-nosed bat), 2364 nucleotides long. RefSeq lists it as uncharacterized. The transcript has 4 exons. The record is from RefSeq and is a predicted model, not a curated record. Lineage: Eukaryota; Metazoa; Chordata; Mammalia; Chiroptera; Phyllostomidae.
GUGACCCUCCGGCGCGGGCAGUCGGCCUGGGGCCCCAAGGCUGAGUGCAGGAGCCUGGAAGGCCAGCAGGGUUUGCUGAGGUUAGCCAGGCUUGGGAGAGCGUUUGCUCUCUCAACUCUAGGAGUGAAGUCCCUGACACAAACCUGGCUUUGCAUUUCUGCCAGCGGGAAUCUCGCUCGCUCGCUCGCUACCGUGGAUAAACCCUGGGGUUCAAAGCAGCUGUAAAGAAUCAAGAAGGCGCUAAUUUUGAGGGAUCAGCCCGUUACCUCCCUUCGCACCGCUCGGGAAGUUGGCUGAGCACCGACUCGCAGAAGAACAUUGUGGCCGGGAGGCAUCUGUAUUACAAUUUCUUUCUUGGCUUCAUAAAAGAGAGAGAGGUGGGGAGAGAGAGAGAGAGAAAGAGAGACACACAUUGACUGGUUCCCUUCUCAUAUGUGCCCUGACCCGGGAUGGAACCCGAAACCUGGGUAUGUGCCCUGACGGGGAAUCAAACCCGCAACCUUUCAGUCUGUGGAGGACGCUCUAGCGGAGCCACACCCAUCACGGCACAAGCAUCCCCAAGACUUCGCCCAGAGGCUGGUGUUCCCGAACAACUGGUUUUCAGCUAAAUUUCAUCAUGACGCAUCACCCUCAGGGAACGUACUGAUAAGAACACACUACCCUGGAGUGAGACACAGCUCUGCUUGGAAAUCUGGCUGCCGUCCUGUAAGAGGUGGCUCAGUCUGCUCAGCGCUUGAAGGAGCCGCGCAUGCUAAGUAAACACCCCACAGGCGGCUCGGCUGCGGAUGGAUAGGCGGAUGAACAAACAGCGGAAUGACGUUCUUUAAGUAGGGCCCCCGCCCCCCCCGCCGUCUGCUGUGUUUACAGGCCCCCAAAUGAAAUCACCUGGCUGUUUACAGGGGCCUUCGUGCUGAUGAAAAGACUCAGUUAUGCGCCCAACUCUUCUCUGCCAAAGGAGAAAAGUUCCAGGUUCUUUCAAAGUAUGUGAAGCAUCUGAUGUGAAAAGUGGCAACAGCAUUUGGGACCAAUUACCCAGAUUAAGAGGCAACAAUGCUCUGUUUACAAUGUGUAGCCAAGAGCGGCUUGGCUCGGGUCCACGUGCUGGGGAUUGUAAAUUACAGAAAUUUCAGCCCAACACCGAUUCCUCUUUUGACCUGCGUGGCUGAGAAAAACAGGUAGAGACGCCCUUGUUGUUACUUGCCCCGAGACUUCAGUGAAUGGGGAACUGAAUAUUAUCUUCCCAGUAAGUCAGCGACACACAGGUCCCCUGCCAGGAAGGCCUGGAUUGCUCACUCAGGGAAGACUCUAAUUGUAUGUGACGUGUCAGGAUGUGGUUUUUCUGUUUGCCGCUCCUCGGAGAUGACUUCUGCGAAAACAGUUCGAAAAUGAAGCCCUCUGACCUCUUUUGCUUCAUUGCCGUAGCACCCCAAGACAACUCCAUUGUCCAAUAGAUUGUGGGGGAAUCGGCACCAAAGGAUAGAGAGGGAGGUUAGCGCCAGAGAACUGGGCUGCUGCGAAUAGAUUAGACAUAGACUGUGGCAAAUGCAGCCAUUGUGGGCACCCCCCCCCCCAAUAAUUUGGCCCACACAUGGGGGCUGAAAGCAGUUUGGGUCAUUGGGGCCUGGAAUUUAGAGUUCUUCCUUUGCCCGAGGCAGACCGGCCCCCACUCUGUGCAAUGCUGAUCAUUCCAGAAGUUCGGGGGAAAUAUUCAUCUUAAGUCUUUGCACAUAAUCCUGAUGUUAAGGCCUUGACCUUGGCGGGGGGGAAAGCAACCACAGCGGUCCGACAGCAAGGGGGAGAGUAUCUAUUCCUGAAGGGCAGGCCUGCCGAACGCAGCCGCGCGGGGAAGACAAGUCACCGCCUCACCGACGGCCAUCGCGCGUGCGUGCUCAGGGUUUCCUCACGUGAUUGCUCUCAGUUCCAUGCUUAGAUCAUCGAGUUGGAUAUAUCUACAGGCAGGGGGACCAAGGUCUUCUUAUGACUGCUUCUUAUUGCUGGGUGGGGUGGUCAUGAAGAGGAAAAUGCAAUUGAAGUUCUGAUCGUGGAGUAUAUAGCAUCUUGGACUUGGAAAGUAUUUUUAUCCAAGAAUCCGGUGUCCUUUUUUUUUUUUUUAAAAAAAAAUCAUUUGAGAGAGAGAGAAACAUCAAUUUGUUGUUCCACUUAUUUAUACAUUUGUUGAUGGUUUCUUGUAUGCGCCCUGACUGGGAAUCGAACCCCCAACCUUGGCGUAUCAGGAUGACACUCUAAGCACCUGAUCCACCUGGCCAGGGCUUCCAGUGUCCACUUCAUGGAGGGCUGUCCUCCAGUAAGUGACAGCUUUCCAAUCCCUUCCUGUGUCAAUAUAUUUUCCCAAUAAAAACGGAU